CAAGUUCAGAAAACUCGACAGAUCAGUGUUUCUGGAACAGCAGUAGCUCAACACAAGUUAUUGAAUGGACCUGUCCAUCAGUUGAUGAAAAAAUGAAUCAGGAAGAUGAGGAUGAAGGUGUUGAACCCUCAGAAGCAUCAGACGCCUUGGACGAACUGGAGUCUGACAUGGAAGAAAUGGAAAAUAACAAUAUAAGCAAUGCAGUGAUUGUCAUGAG
Long non-coding RNA from Cyprinus carpio (common carp), 217 nucleotides. RefSeq lists it as uncharacterized. The record is from RefSeq and is a predicted model, not a curated record. Lineage: Eukaryota; Metazoa; Chordata; Actinopteri; Cypriniformes; Cyprinidae.